GACGAACGCUGGCGGCGUGCCUAAUACAUGCAAGUCGAACGCUGAAGGAGGAGCUUGCUUCUCUGGAUGAGUUGCGAACGGGUGAGUAACGCGUAGGUAACCUGCCUGGUAGCGGGGGAUAACUAUUGGAAACGAUAGCUAAUACCGCAUAAUAGUAGAUGUUGCAUGACAUUUGCUUAAAAGGUGCAAUUGCAUCACUACCAGAUGGACCUGCGUUGUAUUAGCUAGUUGGUGGGGUAACGGCUCACCAAGGCGACGAUACAUAGCCGACCUGAGAGGGUGAUCGGCCACACUGGGACUGAGACACGGCCCAGACUCCUACGGGAGGCAGCAGUAGGGAAUCUUCGGCAAUGGACGGAAGUCUGACCGAGCAACGCCGCGUGAGGGAAGAAGGUUGUCGGAUCGUAAAGCUCUGUUGUAAGAGAAGAACGAGUGUGAGAGUGGAAAGUUCACACUGUGACGGUAUCUUACCAGAAAGGGACGGCUAACUACGUG
This 495-nucleotide ribosomal RNA is filed under the name uncultured bacterium. RNAcentral describes it as "partial 16S ribosomal RNA". It matches the Rfam family "Bacterial small subunit ribosomal RNA", at positions 28 to 507 of the family's 1533-position model. The record is from RNAcentral.